AUUGAACGCUGGCGGCAGGCCUAACACAUGCAAGUCGAGCGGAUGAAGGGAGCUUGCUCCUGGAUUCAGCGGCGGACGGGUGAGUAAUGCCUAGGAAUCUGCCUGGUAGUGGGGGAUAACGUCCGGAAACGGGCGCUAAUACCGCACACGCCCUGAGGGAGAAAGUGGGGGAGCUUCGGACCUCACGCUAUCAGAUGAGCCUAGGUCGGAUUAGCUAGUUGGUGGGGUAAAGGCCUACCAAGGCGACGAUCCGUAACUGGUCUGAGAGGAUGAUCAGUCACACUGGAACUGAGACACGGUCCAGACUCCUACGGGAGGCAGCAGUGGGGAAUAUUGGACAAUGGGCGAAAGCCUGAUCCAGCAAUGCCGCGUGUGGGAAGAAGGUCUUCGGAUUGUAAAGCACUUUUAGUUGGGAGGAAGGGCAGUAAGUUAAUACCUUGCUGUAUUGACGUUACCAACAGAAUAAGCACCGGCUAACUUCGUG
RNAcentral lists this ribosomal RNA (484 nucleotides) under uncultured bacterium. Its description in RNAcentral is "partial 16S ribosomal RNA". It matches the Rfam family "Bacterial small subunit ribosomal RNA", at positions 30 to 507 of the family's 1533-position model. The record is from RNAcentral.